GAUGAACGCUGGCGGCGGGCUUAACACAUGCAAGUCGAACGGAAACGCGCUGCUUGUUUGGGGUGCUCGAUUGCCGAACGGGUGAGUAUGACGUGAGUAUCCCCCCCCUGCCUUUCAGAUAACGUUAGCAAACCGGAGCUAGUACCGGAUAGGUGCUCCUGCUGUUGGGUGGGGGCGGGUAGGUUGCGGCGGUUGGGGAUGGGGUCGGGGCUUGCGAGCUUGUUGGUGGGGUAGUGGCUUACGAAGGCUUUGACGGGUAGCCGGCCUGAGAGGGUGACCGGCGACACUGGGACUGAGAUACGGCCCAGACUCCUACGGGAGGCAGGAGUGGGGAAUAUUGCACAAUGGGCGGAAGCCUGAUGCAGCAACGCCGCGUGCGGGAUUACGGACUUCGUGUUGUAAACCGCUUUGGCCUGUGACGAUGCGUGAGUGAAGGUAAUGGAUAAAGAAGAACCGGCUAACUACGUG
RNAcentral lists this ribosomal RNA (468 nucleotides) under uncultured bacterium. Its description in RNAcentral is "partial 16S ribosomal RNA". It matches the Rfam family "Bacterial small subunit ribosomal RNA", at positions 28 to 507 of the family's 1533-position model. The record is from RNAcentral.